GGCCGCGGGAAUUCGAUUCAGGCCUAACACAUGCAAGUCGAACGAUGAAGCCGCAGCUUGCUGUGGUGGAUUAGUGGCGAACGGGUGAGUAACACGUGAGUAACCUACCCUCCACUCUGGGAUAAGCCUGGGAAACUGGGUCUAAUACUGGAUAUGACGCAUGCUCGCAUGGGUGUGUGUGGAAAGAUUUUUUGGUGGGGGAUGGGCUCGCGGCCUAUCAGCUUGUUGGUGGGGUGAUGGCCUACCAAGGCGGUGACGGGUAGCCGGCCUGAGAGGGCGACCGGCCACACUGGGACUGAGACACGGCCCAGACUCCUACGGGAGGCAGCAGUGGGGAAUAUUGCACAAUAGGCGAAAGCCUGAUGCAGCGACGCCGCGUGGGGGAUGACAGCGUUCGGGUUGUAAACUCCUUUCGCCAGGGACGAAGCUU
This 430-nucleotide ribosomal RNA is filed under the name uncultured bacterium. RNAcentral describes it as "bacterial SSU rRNA". It matches the Rfam family "Bacterial small subunit ribosomal RNA", at positions 39 to 453 of the family's 1533-position model. The record is from RNAcentral.